UUGGAGGGCAAGUCUGGUGCCAGCAGCCGCGGUAAUUCCAGCUCCAAUAGCGUAUAUUAAAGUUGUUGCAGUUAAAAAGCUCGUAGUUGAAUUUCGGAGUUUGUCGGUCGGUCGGGCUUAACUGUCCGCACUGGUGUGAUGGGUUUCUACCUUCUGAAUAACCGGCAUGCCAUUAAUUUGGUGCGCCGGGGAAGCAGGACUGUUACCUUGAAAAAAUUAGAGUGCUUAAAGCAGGCUAUCGCCUGAAUACAUUAGCAUGGAAUAAUGAAAUAGGACGGCACGGUUCUAUUUUGUUGGUUUCUAGGAUCACCGUAAUGAUUAAUAGGGAUAGUUGGGGGCAUUAGUAUUCAAUUGUCAGAGGUGAAAUUCUUGGAUUUAUUGAAGACUAACUACUGCGAAAGCAUUUGCCAAGGAUGUUUUCAUUAAUCAAGAACGAAAGUUAGGGGAUCGAAGACGAUCAGAUACCGUCGUAGUCUUAACCAUAAACUAUGCCGACUAGGGAUCGGAUGAUGUUAAUUUUUUAAUGACUCAUUCGGCGCCUUACGGGAAAC
Molecule: ribosomal RNA, 551 nt
Filed under: uncultured Acaulosporaceae
Lineage: Eukaryota; Fungi; Glomeromycota; Glomeromycetes; Diversisporales; Acaulosporaceae
Description: SSU rRNA
Rfam family: Eukaryotic small subunit ribosomal RNA
Source: RNAcentral